RNAcentral lists this ribosomal RNA (467 nucleotides) under uncultured bacterium. Its description in RNAcentral is "partial 16S ribosomal RNA". It matches the Rfam family "Bacterial small subunit ribosomal RNA", at positions 28 to 507 of the family's 1533-position model. The record is from RNAcentral.
GAUGAACGCUGGCGGCGUGCUUAACACAUGCAAGUCGAACGGAAAGGCCUUAGCUUGCUGGGGUGCUCGAGUGGCGAACGGGUGAGUAACACGUAGGUGAUCUGCCUUUCACUUCGGGAUAAGCUUGGGAAACUGGGUCUAAUACCGGAUAUUCACGGCACCGUGGUUGGUGUGGUGGAAAGCUUUUGCGGUGGGAGAUGAGCUUGCGGCCUAUCAGCUUGUUGGUGGGGUAAUGGCCUACCAAGGCGGCGACGGGUAGCCGGCCUGAGAGGGUGUGCGGCCACAUUGGGACUGAGAUACGGCCCAGACUCCUACGGGAGGCAGCAGUGGGGAAUUUUGCACAAUGGGCGGAAGCCUGAUGCAGCGACGCCGUGUGGGGGAUGAAGGCCUUCGGGUUGUAAACUCCUUUCGUCAGGGACGAAGUUUGUUUGACGGUACCUGGAUAAGAAGCACCGGCUAACUACGUG